AGCAGCCGCGGUAAUUCCAGCUCCAAUAGCGUAUAUUAAAGUUGUUGCAGUUAAAAAGCUCGUAGUUGAAUUUCGGGGUUAGUAGGUUGGUCAUGCCUCUGGUAUGUACUGGUCUCACUGAUUCCUCCUUCCUGAUGAGCCGUAAUGCCAUUAAUUUGGUGUUGCGGGGAAUUUGGACUGUUACUUUGAAAAAAUUAGAGUGUUUAAAGCAAGCUAACGCUUGAAUACAUUAGCAUGGAAUAAUGAAAUAGGACGUUCGAUCCUAUUUUGUUGGUUUCUAGGAUUGACGUAAUGAUUAAUAGGGGUAGUUGGGGGCAUUAGUAUUCAAUUGUCAGAGGUGAAAUUCUUGGAUUUAUUGAAGACUAACUACUGCGAAAGCAUUUGCCAAGGAUGUUUUCAUUAAUCAAGAACGAAAGUUAGGGGAUCGAAGACGAUCAGAUACCGUCGUAGUCUUAACCAUAAACUAUGCCGACUAGGGAUCGGAUGAUGUUAAUUUUUAAUGACUCAUUCGGCGCCUUAC
RNAcentral lists this ribosomal RNA (520 nucleotides) under uncultured Glomus. Its description in RNAcentral is "SSU rRNA". It matches the Rfam family "Eukaryotic small subunit ribosomal RNA", at positions 569 to 1091 of the family's 1831-position model. The record is from RNAcentral. Lineage: Eukaryota; Fungi; Glomeromycota; Glomeromycetes; Glomerales; Glomeraceae.